UACGGAGGGGGCUAGCGUUGUUCGGAAUUACUGGGCGUAAAGGGUGCGCAGGCGGGAUCUUAAGUCAGGGGUGAAAUCCCGAGGCUCAACCUCGGAACUGCCCUUGAUACUGGGGUUCUUGAGUCCGGAAGAGGUGGGUGGAACUGCGAGUGUAGAGGUGAAAUUCGUAGAUAUUCGCAAGAACACCGGUGGCGAAGGCGGCCCACUGGUCCGGAACUGACGCUGAGGCACGACAGCGUGGGGAGCAAACAGG
RNAcentral lists this ribosomal RNA (253 nucleotides) under uncultured bacterium. RNAcentral describes it as "partial 16S ribosomal RNA". It matches the Rfam family "Bacterial small subunit ribosomal RNA", at positions 524 to 776 of the family's 1533-position model. The record is from RNAcentral.